CCCUUCGGGGAAAAAGGCGUGUGUCUAUGUAUGUACAUACAUACAUAGACACACGCCUUUUUCCCCGAAGGG
This is a microRNA precursor of Operophtera brumata (winter moth), 72 nucleotides long. It matches the Rfam family "mir-965 microRNA precursor family". Lineage: Eukaryota; Metazoa; Arthropoda; Insecta; Lepidoptera; Geometridae. The record is from Rfam.